RNAcentral lists this ribosomal RNA (171 nucleotides) under fungal sp. 23 BI 11-5-2. Its description in RNAcentral is "5.8S ribosomal RNA". The stretch from base 1 to 153 matches the Rfam family "5.8S ribosomal RNA". Rfam says of the family: 5.8S ribosomal RNA (5.8S rRNA) is a component of the large subunit of the eukaryotic ribosome. It is transcribed by RNA polymerase I as part of the 45S precursor that also contains 18S and 28S rRNA. The record is from RNAcentral. RNAcentral also lists the same sequence under 1 other name. Lineage: Eukaryota; Fungi.
ACUUUCAACAACGGAUCUCUUGGUUCUGGCAUCGAUGAAGAACGCAGCGAAAUGCGAUAAGUAAUGUGAAUUGCAGAAUUCAGUGAAUCAUCGAAUCUUUGAACGCACAUUGCGCCCCCUGGUAUUCCGGGGGGCAUGCCUGUCCGAGCGUCAUUACAACCCUCAAGCUCA